ACAUAACACACAUGUAUAUAUAUGAGCUAAUUUUACUGUUAUAUGUCUAUGUCGCGGUGGAGCGUAUUUAUUUAUUAGUGACUUGUUUACUCAGCUUACUCUCCAUUACUAAUUUAGUGUUUACACAACCACGUGACGUGAACUACAACCUUCUUAGACUAUCUGCAAACCCACUACGCACUAAACAGGUCCUUCUGAUGGAAACCUGUUUACCUGCCCGAGGUUAAGGAAUGAAGUCGAGACUGCCGUGCCAACAAUGCUGCUUUUGCCGUAUGUGACGGGACCUGGCGUGUUUGCACCAAGAAUGUCAAGAACUCACUACAGACUUUAUUACAGACUGGACUGAAUAAUAACUCUAUUAUUAUUUAUUUAUUUAUUUAUUUAUUAUUGCUAGGUAUAACUUUUAGUUCAUUUUAAUUAUGUUUGUAUGAUUUGUGUAAAUACUAUUUAUUUAAAGUAUCCUCCAGACCACCCAAAGAGGAUGGUCCCUGCUGAGUCUGGUUCCUCUCAAGGUUUCUUCCUGUAAUUUUAAGGGAGUUUUUCCUUGCCACUGUUGCCCUCGGCUUGCUCAACAGGGGUUUUUGUAUCUGUUGGUCCUGGAUUUUGUAAAGUUGCUUUGAGACAAUGUCUAUUGUAAAAAGCGCUAUAUAAAUAAAGUUGACUUGACUUGACUUGA
Trichomycterus rosablanca is the source of this 676-nucleotide long non-coding RNA. RefSeq lists it as uncharacterized. The record is from RefSeq and is a predicted model, not a curated record. The transcript has 2 exons. NCBI's taxonomy places the organism in Eukaryota, Metazoa, Chordata, Actinopteri, Siluriformes, Trichomycteridae.